This 278-nucleotide ribosomal RNA is filed under the name Acanthamoeba sp. VJM-2014. Its description in RNAcentral is "partial 18S ribosomal RNA". It matches the Rfam family "Eukaryotic small subunit ribosomal RNA", at positions 861 to 1097 of the family's 1831-position model. The record is from RNAcentral. Lineage: Eukaryota; Discosea; Longamoebia; Acanthamoebidae.
UGAGAGAUUCCCCCGGAGCGUUGGGGGAAUUAAUCCUUAAUUGUCCGAGGAGAAAUCCUUGGAUUUAUGAAAGAUUAACUUCUGCGAAAGCGUUUGCCAAGGAUGUUUUCAUUAAUCAAGAACGAAAGUUAGGGGAUCGAAGACGAUCAGAUACCGUCGUAGUCUUAACCAUAAACGAUGCCGACCAGCGAUUAGGAGACGUUGAAUACAAAACACCGCUGUUAAUCCUUUCGGGGAUUAAUAGUUGGUGAAUGAACUCCCUAGCAGCUUGUGAGAAA